This 707-nucleotide long non-coding RNA is filed under the name Arabidopsis thaliana (thale cress). RNAcentral's name for it is "long non-coding RNA (ATHA_LNC000103)". Lineage: Eukaryota; Viridiplantae; Streptophyta; Magnoliopsida; Brassicales; Brassicaceae. The record is from RNAcentral.
UUCCACAUAUCGCUUUUAUGUCUGCCACUUGUGCGUUCAAAGAACCAGUCAUUACAAAAAACAUCAGAGAAGACAUUAAAACUCUGUUCGUCAGGUAUGCUGCCAUCUUUGCUUCUUUCUUUCUUAUGUUCGUUGGUAGAUGAUGGUUAAGUUAUUCCCUUACUAUGCCUGACUAUUCAUAUUUAUAGAUGCAUGCGAUUGAUUGCUUCCACUAGAACUAAUAAUAGAAAUGGGUUGUUACUCUUUCUGAUUCUUAGUUAGACCACAAGUCCUUAUGUAAGAGAGAGAGAAAACUUUGCUAUUCUUAGCAUUAGUGCAGAGACAGUUAUCUGAUUAGUAUUCGUCUAACUUACUUUCCUGACUUCUCUUCUUUAGGUAGAUAUGCAUUCACUAAUAUGUGUUCAUGAUUUGUUGGUGCUAAGAAAGAUUACUGUAGGAAGAGGUUCUAUGGAGAUAAUUGUCAUAAAUAUACACCAGAAGUAACGAGAGAUUAAAGUCUUAGCUGAGAUGCAAGACACGGUAAUUUUGACUAUGAAUAUAUUCAUUUAUUGGUCUUUAAGUUACUAGUACAUCAGCGUGAAUGACAUUUAGUAGUUUCUGCCUUCUUGCAGGUGAAAGAUACAUAAAGAAUCAAGAAGUCAAAACGUCGGAGAAAACCCUAUCAAUAUUACACAUUCUCUUAAAAAACAAAUUGAGUUUUGCUACAU